CCUACGGGAGGCAGCAGUAGGGAAUCUUCCACAAUGGGCGAAAGCCUGAUGGAGCAACGCCGCGUGGGUGAAGAAGGUCUUCGGAUCGUAAAACCCUGUUGUUAGAGAAGAAAGUGCGUGAGAGUAACUGUUCACGUUUCGACGGUAUCUAACCAGAAAGCCACGGCUAACUACGUGCCAGCAGCCGCGGUAAUACGUAGGUGGCAAGCGUUAUACGGAUUUAUUGGGCGUAAAGGGAACGCAGGCGGUCUUUUAAGUCUGAUGGGAAAGCCUUCGGCUUAACCGGAGUAGUGCAUUGGAAACUGGGAGACUUGAGUGCAGAAGAGGAGAGUGGAACUCCAUGUGUAGCGGUGAAAUGCGUAGAUAUAUGGAAGAACACCAGUGGCGAAAGCGGCUCUCUGGUCUGUAACUGACGCUGAGGUUCGAAAGCGUGGGUAGCAAACAGGAUUAGAUACCCGGGUAGUC
This 465-nucleotide ribosomal RNA is filed under the name uncultured bacterium. RNAcentral's name for it is "partial 16S ribosomal RNA". It matches the Rfam family "Bacterial small subunit ribosomal RNA", at positions 338 to 795 of the family's 1533-position model. The record is from RNAcentral.